Molecule: long non-coding RNA, 258 nt
Filed under: Phaseolus vulgaris (common bean)
Lineage: Eukaryota; Viridiplantae; Streptophyta; Magnoliopsida; Fabales; Fabaceae
Description: long non-coding RNA (PVUL_LNC002952)
Source: RNAcentral
GAAGCUGUCAAUGGAGGUGUCCAAGGAGACGUGGGUGUGCAGCACCGACUUCAUACGGUGGCUACCGGAGAGACCUGUGCCCGCAGGCGGCGGCAAAAGGCUCACCGGAGAGACGUAUACGAAGUCCAAGCCGAAGCCGAAGCCUUCUCCAUCGCUUAUGCAGCCGCCACGGUCGUCGUGCUCUUUCCCGGCGGUGGGCGGCGCCGCCGGAGUGUCGAUGGCGACAAUGAUUGAGCAGAAGCUGAUGGGGUCCAAAUC